CGCCCGGCCAGCCACCCCGUCCGGGAGGUGGGGGGCGCCUCUGCCCGGUCGCCCCUUCUGGGAAGUGAGGAGCCCCUCUGCCCGGCCACCACCCCAUCUGGGAUGUGUACCCAACAGCUCAUUGAGAACGGGUCAUGAUGACAAUGGCGGUUUUGUGGAAUAGAAAAGGGGGAAAGGUGGGGAAAAGAUUGAGAAAUCGGAUGGUUGUUGUGUCUGUGUAGAAAGAAAUAGACAUGGAAGACUUUUCAUUUUGUUCUGUACUAAGAAAAAUUCUUCUGCCUUGGGAUCCUGUUGAUCUAUGACCUUACCGCCAACCCUGUGCUCUCUGAAACAUGUGCUGUGUCCACUCAAGGUUAAAUGGAUUAAGGGCGGUGCAAGAUGUGCUUUGUUAAACAGAUGCUUGAAGGCAGCAUGCUCGUUAAGAGUCAUCACCACUCCCUAAUCUCAAGUACCCAGGGACACAAACACUGCGGAAGGCCGCAGGGUCCUCUGCCUAGGAAAACCAGAGACCUUUGUUCACUUGUUUAUCUGCUGACCUUCCCUCCACUAUUGUCCUAUGACCCUGCCAAAUCUCCCUCUGUGAGAAACACCCAAGAAUGAUCAAUAAAAAAAAAAAAAAAGAAAAAGAAAAAAUUAAGGCAGAAAUAAAGAAGUUCCUUGAAAGCAAUGAGAACAAAGAGACAAAGUACCAGAAUCUCUGGAACACAGCUAAAGCAGUGUUAAGCGGAAAAUUAUUGCACCAAAUGCCCACAUCAGAAAGCUGAAAGGAUCUAAAAUCAACACCCUAACAUCACAAUUAAAAGAACUAUAGAAGCAAGAACAAACAAAUUCAAAAGCUAGCAGAACACAAGAAAUAACUAAGAUUAGAGUAGAACUGAAGGAGAUAGAGACACAAAAAACCCUUCAAAAAAUCAAUGAAUCCAGGAGCUGUUUUUUGAAAACAUAGACAAAAUACAUAGACUGCCAGCUAGACUAAUAAAGAAAAGAGAGAAGAAUCAAAUAGACACAAUAAAAAUGAUAAAUAGGAUAUCACCACUGAUCUGACAGAAAUACAAACUACCAACAGAGAAUACUAUAAACACCUCUUUGCAAAUAAACUAGAAAAUUUAGAAAAAAAUGGAUAAAUUCCUGGACACAUACACACACCCUCCCAAGACUAAACCAGGAAGAAGUCAAAUCCCUGAAUAGACCAAUAACAAGUUCUGAAAUUGAGGCAGUAAUUAAUAGCCUACCAACCAAAAAAAGCCCAGGACCACAUGGAUUCACAGCCAAAUUCUAUCAGAGAUACAAAGAGGAGCUGGUAUCAUUCCUUCUGAAACUAUUCCAAACAAUGGAAGAAGAGGGACUCCUUCCUAACUCAUUUUAUGAGGCCAGCAUCAUCCUGAUUCCAAAACCUGGCAGAGACACAACAGAAAAAGAAAAUUUCAGGCCAAUAUCCCUGAAUAAUAUUGAAGUGAAAAUCCUCAAUAAAAUACUGGCAAACCAAUUCCAGCAGCGCAUCAAAAAGCUUAUCCACCACGACCAAGUCGGCUUCAUCCUUGGGAUGCAAGGCUGGUUCAACAUAUGCAAAUCAAUAAAAUAAUCCACCACAUAAACAGAACCAAUGACAAAAAACACAUGAUUAUCUCAAUAGAUGCAGAAAAGACUGUUGAUAAAAUUCAACACCCCUUCAUGCUAAAAACUCUCAAUAAACUAGGUAUUGAUGGAACAUAUCUCAAAAUAAUAGAGCUAUUUAUGACAAAUCCAUAGCCAAUAUCAUACUGAAUGGACAAAAGGUGGAAGCAUUCACUUUGAAAACUGGCACAAGACAAGGAUGCCAUCUCCCACAACUCUUUUGUUUUUUGAGACGGAGUUUCACUCGUUUCCCAGGCUAGAGUGCAAUGGCAUGAUCUCGGCUCACCACAACCUCUGCCUCCUGGGUGCAAGUGAUUCUCCUGCCUCAGCCUCCGGAGUAGCUGGGAUUACAGGCGUAUGACAACAUGCCUGGAUAAUUUUGUAUUUUUAGUAGAGACAGAGUUUCUCCAUGUUGGUCAGGCUGGUCUUGCACUCUCAAUCUCAGGUGAUCCACCCGCCUUGGCCUCCCCAAAUGCUGGGAUUACAUGAGUGAGCCACUGCACCUGGCUCCUCCACUCUUAUUCAACAUAGUAUUGGAAGUUUUGGCCAGGGCAAUCAGGCAAGAGAAAUAAAUAAGGGGUAUUCAAAUAGGAAGAGAGGAAGUAAACUUGUCUCUGUUUGCAGAUGACAUGAUUGUAUAUUUAGAAAACCCCAUCGUCUCCACCCAAAAGCUCCUUGAGCUGAUAAGUAACUUCAGGAAAAUCUCAGGAUACAAAAUCAAUGUGUAAAAAUCACAAGCAUUUGGCUGGUCAUGGUGGCUCAUGCCUGUAAUCCCAGCACUUUGGAAGGCUGAGGCAGGUGGAUCAUCUGAGGUCCACCUACUCGGGAGGCUGAGGCAACAGAAUCGCUUUAACCCAGGAGGCAGAGGUUGCAGUGAGCCAAGAUCAUGCCACUGCACUACAGCCUGGGUAACAGAGUGAGACUCUGUCUCAAAAAAAAAAAAAAAAAAAAAAAAAUCACAAGCAUUUCUAUACACCAGCAAUACACAAGCAGAGGGCCAAAUCAUGAGUGAACUCCUAUUCACAAUUGCUACAAAGAGAAUAAAAUACCUAGGAAUACAACUUACAAGGGAUGUGAAGGACCUCUUCAAGAAGAACUACAAAACACUGCUCAUGGAAAUAAGAGAGGACACAAACAAAUGGGAAAAAAUUCCAUGCUCAUGGAUAGGAAUAAUCAAUAUCAUGAAAAUGGCCAUACUGCCCAAAGUAAUUUAUGACUCAAUGCUAUUCCCAUCAAGCUACCAUUGACUUUCUUCACAGAAUUAGAAAAAAACUACUUUAAAUUUCAUAUGGAACCAAAAAAAGAAUCUGUAUAGUCAAGACAAUUUUAUGCAGAAAGAACAAAGCUGGAGUCAUCACGUCACCUGACUUCAAACUAUACUACAAGGAUACAGUAACCAAAACAGCAUGGUACUGUUACCAAAACAGAUAUAUAGACCAAUGGAACAGAACAGAGACCUCAGAAAUAACACCACACAUCUAUAACCAUCUUAUCUGCCACAAACUUGACAAAAACAAGCAAUGGGGAAAGGAUUCCCUUUUUAAUAAAUGGUGCUGGGAAAGCUGGCUAGCCAUAUGCAGAAAACAGAAACUGUACCCCUUCCUUAUAACUUAUACAAAAAUAUACUCAAGAAAAAUUAAAGACUUAAAUGUAAAACCCCAAACCACAAAAACACUAGAAGAAAAUCUAGGUAGUACCAUUCAGGAUAUAGGUAUGGGCAAAGACUUCAUUACUAAAACACAAAAGCAACUGCAACAAAUGCCAAAAUUGACAAAUGGGAUCUAAUCAAACUAAAGAGCUUCUGCACAGCAAAAGAAACUAUCACCAGGGUGAACAGGCAACCUACAGAAUGGGAGAAAAAUUUUGCAAGAUACUCAUCUGACAAAGGUCUAAUAUCCAGAAUAUACAAGGAACUUAAAAAAAUUUAUAAGAAAAAAACAACCCCAUCAAAAAGUGGGCAAAGGAUAUAAAGAGACAUUUCUCAAAAGACAUUUAUGUGGCCAAAAAACGUAUGAAAAAAAGUUCAUCAUCACUAGUCGUUAGAGAAAUGCAAAUCAAACCACAAUGAGAUACUAUCUCAUGCCAGUUAGAAUGGCAAUUAUUAAAAAGUCAGGAAACAACAGAUGCUCGUGAGGCUGUGGAGAAAUGCUUUUACACUGUUGGUAGGACUGUAAAUUAGUUCAACCAUUGUGGAAGACAAUGUGGCAAUCCUUAAGAAUCUAGAACCAGAAAUACCAUUCGACCAAGCAAUCCCAUUACUGGGUAUGUACCCAAAGGAUUAUAAAUCAUUAUACUAUAAACACACAUGCACACAUGUUUAUUGCAGAACUCUUUACAGUAGCAAAGACUUGGAACCAACCCAAAUGUCCAUCAAUGAUAGACUGGAUAAGAAAAUGUGGCACAUAUACACCACAGAAUACUAUGCAGCCAUAAAAAAGAAUGAGUUCAUGUCCUUUGCAGGGGCAUGGAUGAAAUUGGAAGCCAUAAUUCUCAGCAAACUAACACAGGAACAGAAAAUCAAACACCACAUUUUCUCACUCAUAAGUGGGAACUGAACGACGAGAACACAUGGAGACAGGAAGGGGAACAUCACAUACUGGGGCCUGUCAGGGUGUGGGGGGCAAUGGGAGGGAGAGCAUUAGGACAAAUACCUAAUUCAUGUGGGGCUUAAAACCUAGAUGAUGUGUUGAUAGGUGCAGCAAACCACCAUGGCACAUGUAUACAUAUGUAACAAACCUACAUGUUUUGCACAUGUAUCACAGAAAUUAAAAAAUUUAAAUUUAAAAACAUAAAAAAUAAAAUCAUCUAUAUAUUUAUAUAUAUAUAUAUUUAUAUAUGUAUAUACACCACGAUUUGAACCCCGUUGAAGACCAAUUUUACACAAAAGUCCCCUAAUUAACAUUGUUUCUAGGAUAUAAAAACUUGUGCAUACAUUGAGGACAUUUUGCAGAAACAAAAAUCCUUACAAAACUCUGUUAAUUCCAAUAUUACAGUUUGAAAUUAGCCUGUGCUGACAAUAACUUAAGUAAACAAAAUUUCCAAACUUAGUAAUAAAAGUAAUUUAAAAAAACUGAAGCAAAGAUAAUUGUUAU
RNAcentral lists this long non-coding RNA (4706 nucleotides) under Homo sapiens (human). Its description in RNAcentral is "non-protein coding lnc-ZNF100-9:1". The record is from RNAcentral. Lineage: Eukaryota; Metazoa; Chordata; Mammalia; Primates; Hominidae.